AUCUAGGUCAUGAAACAUAGAUUUCAACGAACCCUAAUUCGAUUUCCAGAUUCGUAGCCUCAGGUUCCAGUGCAUGUUUCAUCGAUGAUUUAUUUUCUGAAAAUUAGGAAAUUUAUUGUGCUUGUAAAUAUGUCUGUUAGCUUCGUUUUGAUAUACGGUAUGCGUAAUUUGGAAUUAUAUUGAUCAAGUUAUGAACCGUUUUCUGAAACUGCAGGAUUUCUGAGUCAUCUAUGAUUUAUGUGUUAAAUUAUAUUUUAUCUUGUUCCGAUUCAUGCGAUUCCAACUGGAUAUGUUUAUAGACUGAUAAAUCUGAUUCUCCGUGAAAUUUCAUGGUGUUUCGUUGAAAGAAUGAUUUAAUUAGUAUUUUUAAAGUUGAAUGCUCUGUUCUGAAAUUCUGCUGGUGUUACUGUACUAAAUGAAUUAUUUCUAUCCAUGUUUUACUGAACUGUUUUAAUAUGGUAUAAAUCACAUAUAUGUGAACGUUGUGUUAAAAUUUCAUAAUGUUUGUAUGUACGGUUUAAGAGAUAUGAAUUUCCAAAGUUGAAGUACCGAAUCUGCCAGAUUUCCUUGUAGUUCUUUGGAAUAGAAUAUGUGGAUUUGGAUUUCAUAUAUUAUGUGCGUAUGUGCUAUUAUGAUUAUCGUAUGCUUAUAUGUUCACAUAAAUGUAUAGCUUAGGAAACGCAUGAAUGAUGCAUUUAAGAUAAUCACUUUGGUAUGUUAUAACUAUGAAAGUGGUUCUAUGAAAUAAUAUGAUAAUCCCCUUCUCUUGUAUGUGAUACCUCUGGUAUGUGGUACGUGUACGUUGCAUAAUAUAUGUGAAUUACAAGCAUGUUUAUUUAUGUGUUUUGAAUUAAUUUUGCGAGUCAUUUGAAUAAGAAGUUCUAAGGAAGAAAAUGGUUUGAAUAUGUUUGUUAGCUAUGUUGUUAGGCGUUUAUGUGUUUAUUAUGCUAAGCGCAAGUUCGAUCUAACAUGGUUAUAUUAUUGGAGUUGAAUAAUUUGUCAUUUAUGGUAUUGCAUGGUCAAGUAUAUAGGGACGUCAGAAUCUUAAUAUGGUUAUCGGUCGAGUAGACACGGGAAUACGAGGGGCCAGUAUUCCAACUACGGUACUAUAGACUAGAGUGGGUAGCUCCCCUCAAAACAGGCUCAGAAUAUCGACGUCUAUUACCGAUAACCAUGUUAUGAAUCUGCUAGGGAUACCGUCACAUUAUAGUAAUUGUAUUGACAUAAGUAUGAGUAUGUUUAUUUAUACGUUUUGAAUUGUUUAUAUGAUUUGUCAUUUAUGAUAUUGCAUGGUCAGUAUAGGAAGUCAGAAUCUUAAAUGGCUAUCGGUCGAGUAGACACGGAAAUACGGAGGGGCCGGUAUUCCAACUACGGUACUAUAGACUAUAGAGUGGAUAGCUUCCAUUAAUAAACGGGCUCAGAAUAUCGACGUCUAUUACCGAUAACCAUGUUAUGAAUCUGAUAGCUAAGUGGUCGUUGCAUCCCCAUGUUAAUACACCAUUUUGUUUACGUGAGUACACCUUGCGAGUAUACGUUAAGCAGGGGAAGCUCUUCGUCCAUGUCAAGGUUGAGUUUCUCGAAGCGGUUAUGGAAACUGGUGGAGCGGAGUUCGAGGAAUCACGAGCUUUUAUAUCAACCGACUAUUUUCAAAGAUUUUAUUAGUCACUUUCUUUUUAAGUGUUUUUAACUUGAGAAGUUUAUAGUUGUAAUUAUAAUGUACUCUAUUUAGGAAUCUAGUCUAUUAAACCGGGGUGUAUGUAAAAUAAAGUUAUUUUGUGUUCCGUUGUAUUCCAAGUAUUGCUUUAAAACCCCGUCUAUGUUGAA
Molecule: non-coding RNA, 1824 nt
Organism: Erythranthe guttata (spotted monkey flower)
Lineage: Eukaryota; Viridiplantae; Streptophyta; Magnoliopsida; Lamiales; Phrymaceae
Source: RefSeq, a predicted model, not a curated record